UUUGCAUGUUUCAGAUGAGUGUGUUCAGGAGAAAUGGUUCUACCCAACACAAUUAUUCGCUAAUAUAGUCUAUUUUUCUACUUACAAGCUUAUUUUAUGCACUGAAU
This is a long non-coding RNA of Sinocyclocheilus grahami, 107 nucleotides long. RefSeq lists it as uncharacterized. NCBI's taxonomy places the organism in Eukaryota, Metazoa, Chordata, Actinopteri, Cypriniformes, Cyprinidae. The transcript has 3 exons. The record is from RefSeq and is a predicted model, not a curated record.